This 430-nucleotide ribosomal RNA is filed under the name uncultured bacterium. RNAcentral's name for it is "partial 16S ribosomal RNA". It matches the Rfam family "Bacterial small subunit ribosomal RNA", at positions 338 to 795 of the family's 1533-position model. The record is from RNAcentral.
CCUACGGGAGGCUGCAGUAAGGAAUAUUGGUCAAUGGGCGAAAGCCUGAACCAGCCACGCCGCGUGAAGGAAGACGGCCUACGGGUUGUAAACUUCUUUUCUACGGGAAUAGGUACGUAGGAAUAAGGAUCGGCUAACUCCGUGCCAGCAGCCGCGGUAAUACGGAGGAUCCAAGCGUUAUCCGGAUUUAUUGGGUUUAAAGGGUGCGUAGGUGGGAUGAUAAGUCAGAGGUGAAAGCUAGCAGCUUAACUGUUAAAUUGCCUUUGAUACUGUUAUUCUUGAGUAUAGUGGAGUUGGCGGAAUGUGACAUGUAGCGGUGAAAUGCGUAGAUAUGUCACAGAACACCGAUCGCGAAGGCAGCUAACUAAACUAUACUGACACUGAUGCACGAAAGCGUGGGGAGCAAACAGGAUUAGAUACCCUUGUAGUC